RNAcentral lists this long non-coding RNA (791 nucleotides) under Callithrix jacchus (white-tufted-ear marmoset). Its description in RNAcentral is "lncRNA (ENSCJAG00000080776.1)". Lineage: Eukaryota; Metazoa; Chordata; Mammalia; Primates; Cebidae. The record is from RNAcentral.
UUCUAACAAGGUCUUUCUAUACAGAAUUCUCUCAACUUCCCAUCUUUGAUGGUAAGAAUUUUACUUUUCUUCUGGUAUAGGGAGUACAUCUUCUGUAUCAAGUUUUUAUCUCCUUCUUUCAAUAAGAAGGAGGAAAGUCUUUAAUCUGCCUUUUUUUUUAAAGAAGCUUUGGCUCAAAAUAAUCCUUAUGGCAAAGUGGUAUAUUCUGUAGUUGCAUAUUCUACAAUAUUUUAUUAAUAUUUUCAGCCCAGAAGAGCAGGGUGAUGAUAUCUCCCAAAACCAGUGACUCAGAAGCCAUGGAGGUGCCACCAUACAGAAGCCAUAAUAGAACACAGUCAACCAAAACUGUGGUCUCUUAGAGAGGAAGGUGUGAGGGCUCUCUUUACAUUUCUGCAAUCUCCUGCUGACAGUGAGACCAGCCUCUCCUGUUCUACCUCCUCAGCCUACUCAAUGUGAAGAUGAUGAGUACAAAGACUUUUAUGAUGAUCCACUUCUGCCUAAUAAAUGGGAGACUUGCAAACUUUCUAGGCAUAAGGCUUCCCCCUGCGCAACUCCCCUUGAAAGCUAAAGAAUCUUGAAGGUAAUAGAAAAAGCACGUAAUUAAUUGACUGUAUGCUUAGUCCUACUGACAAAAGCAGCCCUGCAUGGUAGCUCACUCAUGUAAUCCCAGAAUUUUGGGAAGCGGAGGUGAGCAGAUCACGUGAAGCUGUAAGUUCAAAACCAGUCUGGCCAAUAUGGUGAAACUCUAUCUCUAAUAAUACAAAAUUUAGCUGGAAGUGCUGGUGCAUGCC